RNAcentral lists this ribosomal RNA (484 nucleotides) under uncultured bacterium. Its description in RNAcentral is "partial 16S ribosomal RNA". It matches the Rfam family "Bacterial small subunit ribosomal RNA", at positions 30 to 507 of the family's 1533-position model. The record is from RNAcentral.
AUUGAACGCUGGCGGCAGGCCUAACACAUGCAAGUCGAGCGGAUGAAGGGAGCUUGCUCCUGGAUUCAGCGGCGGACGGGUGAGUAAUGCCUAGGAAUCUGCCUGGUAGUGGGGGAUAACGUCCGGAAACGGGCGCUAAUACCGCAUACGUCCUGAGGGAGAAAGUGGGGGAUCUUCGGACCUCACGCUAUCAGAUGAGCCUAGGUCGGAUUAGCUAGUUGGUGGGGUAAGGGCCUACCAAGGCGACGAUCCGUAACUGGUCUGAGAGGAUGAUCAGUCACACUGGAACUGAGACACGGUCCAGACUCCUACGGGAGGCAGCAGUGGGGAAUAUUGGACAAUGGGCGAAAGCCUGAUCCAACCAUGCCGCGUGUGUGAAGAAGGUCUUCGGAUUGUAAAGCACUUUAAGUUGGGAGGAAGGGCAGUAAGUUAAUACCUUGCUGUUUUGACGUUACCAACAGAAUAAGCACCGGCUAACUUCGUG